Molecule: transfer RNA, 67 nt
Filed under: Parapolybia indica
Lineage: Eukaryota; Metazoa; Arthropoda; Insecta; Hymenoptera; Vespidae
Also listed under: 4 other names
Description: tRNA-Glu
Source: RNAcentral
AUUUAUAUAGUGUAAAAAAAACAUUUUAUUUUCAUUAAAAAAAUAAUAAUUUAUUUAUUUAUAAAUU